Molecule: long non-coding RNA, 533 nt
Organism: Hermetia illucens (black soldier fly)
Lineage: Eukaryota; Metazoa; Arthropoda; Insecta; Diptera; Stratiomyidae
Exons: 3
Source: RefSeq, a predicted model, not a curated record
CAAUGAAUUUCCAUAAGUGAAGCAGAUGACAUCCGCUUGCACACCGAUCUACUCACAAACAUUAGGCAGGUUUUAUAUGUGGAAGAAACCAGUGCUAUCAACCGAGUGAAUAAUCGCAUUCCUUUUAGUGAUGAGAAUGAUGCUGCUUCAAUUAUUCGCAUUAGCUGUCAUAUAGCUACUAUUAUUCAAUCCCUUAGCCCAUCAUUUUGCUAGAACAACAAAACAAAAGGAUAAAGAACUUGGGUACAGAAUGACAGAAUAGAAAUUAUUGCAAUGUAUUACGCUGCAACGUAAUACGUAAUGCCAACGAACAUUCCGAAAAAGCCACCAUCGUUUAUACUAGACAAGUUUCGACUUUUGGAUAAUACUUACGCCGAAGACUGCUUUAAAAGAUAAGCUACCUUGGAUCCUCUAAACGGAUCAUGUCUGCCUUAGUAAGCAACUCUAAGCAACCUGGUUCUGUGCUGAGUUCAACCAGUUCGAUAUUCCUAGUAGCUGCCUAUGUCUAUCAUUUUACCUGCGGCAGCAUCUGC